RNAcentral lists this ribosomal RNA (526 nucleotides) under uncultured bacterium. RNAcentral's name for it is "bacterial SSU rRNA". It matches the Rfam family "Bacterial small subunit ribosomal RNA", at positions 791 to 1331 of the family's 1533-position model. The record is from RNAcentral.
UAGUCCACGCCGUAAACGAUGUCUACUAGCCGUUGGGAAACUUGAUUUCUUAGUGGCGCAGCUAACGCACUAAGUAGACCGCCUGGGGAGUACGGCCGCAAGGUUAAAACUCAAAUGAAUUGACGGGGGCCCGCACAAGCGGUGGAGCAUGUGGUUUAAUUCGAUGCAACGCGAAGAACCUUACCAGGCCUUGACAUCCUGAGAAUUUGGUAGAGAUACCUUAGUGCCUUCGGGAACUCAGUGACAGGUGCUGCAUGGCUGUCGUCAGCUCGUGUCGUGAGAUGUUGGGUUAAGUCCCGUAACGAGCGCAACCCUUGUCCUUAGUUGCCAGCACGUAAUGGUGGGAACUCUAAGGAGACUGCCGGUGACAAACCGGGAGGAAGGUGGGGACGACGUCAAGUCAUCAUGGCCCUUACGGGGGUGGGGCUACACACGUGCUACAAUGGGCAGUGACAAUGGGGUUAAUCCCAAAAAACUGUACUCAGUUCGGAUUGUUCUCUGCAACUCGAGAGCAUGAAGUUGGGAA